This 652-nucleotide unclassified non-coding RNA is filed under the name filamentous cyanobacterium MACC31. RNAcentral describes it as "partial contains 16S ribosomal RNA, 16S-23S ribosomal RNA intergenic spacer, and 23S ribosomal RNA". The stretch from base 1 to 154 matches the Rfam family "Bacterial small subunit ribosomal RNA", at positions 1382 to 1533 of the family's 1533-position model. The record is from RNAcentral. Lineage: Bacteria; Bacillati; Cyanobacteriota.
UGUACACACCGCCCGUCACACCAUGGGAGUUGGCCACGCCCGAAGUCGUUACCCUAACCGUUCGCGGAGGGGGGCGCCGAAGGCAGGGCUGAUGACUGGGGUGAAGUCGUAACAAGGUAGCCGUACUGGAAGGUGUGGCUGGAUCACCUCCUUUCAAGGGAGACCUAACCUACACUUAGCUGAAACAAAAAGGAAUAGGCGAGUGAGAGGUCAUCUCUAGGUCGUGCAGGAUGAGUUUUUGGUUUUCAAACUAGGUCUGGUGAAGGGCAUGGGCUAUUAGCUCAGGUGGUUAGAGCGCACCCCUGAUAAGGGUGAGGUCCCUGGUUCGAGUCCAGGAUGGCCCACUCGUGGGGGUAUAGCUCAGUUGGUAGAGCGCCUGCUUUGCAAGCAGGAUGUCAGCGGUUCGAGUCCGCUUACCUCCACCAUUAAGAGAAAGAGAGCGAGUUGAAUAGAGAUUAGCAACUUAUCUAAAGGGAUUUGCUGUUAGAGGCAGUGAGUUCAGUUAGAAGUAGGUAAGCUGCUGGUUUCUUGAAACCAGCUAGAACCUUGAAAACUGCAUAGUAAGAGAGUCUGAAAGAAAGGUAGUUGAGCCAUCAAUGUUUGAAAUGGUCAAGCUAUGAAGGGCUCAUGGUGGAUACCUAGGCACACAGAG